Molecule: ribosomal RNA, 460 nt
Filed under: uncultured bacterium
Lineage: Bacteria
Description: partial 16S ribosomal RNA
Rfam family: Bacterial small subunit ribosomal RNA
Source: RNAcentral
CCUACGGGAGGCAGCAGUGAGGAAUAUUGGUCAAUGGACGAGAGUCUGAACCAGCCAAGUAGCGUGAAGGAUGACUACCCUAUGGGUUGUAAACUUCUUUUAUAUGGGAAUAACAUGUUCCACGUGUGGGAUUUUGUAUGUACCAUAUGAAUAAGGAUCGGCUAACUCCGUGCCAGCAGCCGCGGUAAUACGGAGGAUCCGAGCGUUAUCCGGAUUUAUUGGGUUUAAAGGGAGCGUAGGUGGAGUGUUAAGUCAGUUGUGAAAGUUUGCGGCUCAACCGUAAAAUUGCAGUUGAAACUGGCAGUCUGGAGUACAGUAGAGGUGGGCGGAAUGCGUGGUGUAGCGGUGAAAUGCUUAGAUAGCACGAAGAACUCCGAUUGCGAAGGCAGCUCACUGGACUGCAACUGACACUGAGGCUCGAAAGUGUGGGUAUCAAACAGGAUUAGAUACCCCAGUAGUC